This is a long non-coding RNA of Sycon ciliatum, 1058 nucleotides long. RefSeq lists it as uncharacterized. Lineage: Eukaryota; Metazoa; Porifera; Calcarea; Leucosolenida; Sycettidae. The transcript is spliced from 3 exons. The record is from RefSeq and is a predicted model, not a curated record.
CAAAAGGCAUCCAUCAAUGGCACUUUGCAGUACGGGGUACGGAAAGGGGCCGCCUCGUUCGACUUCGUCGACUUCUGCAUGCAGUUCUCCUUCCCGUCGACCGAAAGGGCCGACGGGCAGACGUUAUGCAGAGAAAGAUGACGACGCCAGUCAGUAAAAUUGUUGGCCAAUUUGUUGCCUACUUUGAGGCCAGUCGAUGAAAUGAGAGCUUCCUUCUUCAAGAAAUAUGUUGCCAGUCGUCAGUCCGAUGCCACUCGUCUUCUAAGCGUCGCACUUGACCUGGCAGCACCACGACGGAAUUUUUUUGCACAAGGGACCCUAGGUGAAUUCAACUCCUCAGAGAUAUCGCCAUGACAGGAUAUCACCAUGGUCAACAAGGUCAAAUGCUUCCAGCUGCCAACAGUGGAUUGCCUCAUUUCUCCCACUGGGGUGGUCCUAGCUUGAAGUGAUGUAUGAUAUCUGCUUACAUUUGAAAGCCAUCUGCUGGAAGGCAGUCAAAUGGGUUUUUCGUCAAACACAACCCUACCAAUGAAAUGAAGGCAACGAGGCAGGAGAGCAGAGACAACGAAUGGUAGAGUCACGAGGUGGCUGUGCCGGUGGGGAAGAUCCAGCUCAACAAGGUGUUCAUGCAAGUUUGAUUAGUACACCACCCUGGUCCGAAUCCUCAAUAUCAGUGAAUCUUACAGAUUGAUGGCUGCUGCCUUGACUCGUGAUGCCUACGAUUGGAUACAAGCUGCUCGAAGUAUGUUUCAAAUAAGAGUACAUGUAUCUUGAACUUAGCAUGAGAGGCAUCCACUUCGUUGGUAACAGCAGAACCUCUGCAUGACUGUCAUAACACUCUCUUUAUUGCAAUAUUUAGCCAAUACUCCCAUUUGUUGUAGCAUCUACCACAUCACUACAAGUGUGCAUUCAUUUCCUGGCUGGCUUGUGUGAACUUAUGAAUGCAAUCACGUGACGCUUCGUGUACACAUGCUCCCAUACUUUAGUGCAUGCGUGCGUGUGUUCAGGUAUGGGUGUGUAUGUUCGUUCACCUACAUACAUGCGUGCGUUUACAUGUA